Molecule: ribosomal RNA, 988 nt
Filed under: Microbacterium phyllosphaerae
Lineage: Bacteria; Bacillati; Actinomycetota; Actinomycetes; Micrococcales; Microbacteriaceae
Description: bacterial SSU rRNA
Rfam family: Bacterial small subunit ribosomal RNA
Source: RNAcentral
UGCAAGUCGAACGGUGAACACGGAGCUUGCUCUGUGGGAUCAGUGGCGAACGGGUGAGUAACACGUGAGCAACCUGCCCCUGACUCUGGGAUAAGCGCUGGAAACGGCGUCUAAUACUGGAUACGAGUAGCGACCGCAUGGUCAGUUACUGGAAAGAUUUAUUGGUUGGGGAUGGGCUCGCGGCCUAUCAGCUUGUUGGUGAGGUAAUGGCUCACCAAGGCGUCGACGGGUAGCCGGCCUGAGAGGGUGACCGGCCACACUGGGACUGAGACACGGCCCAGACUCCUACGGGAGGCAGCAGUGGGGAAUAUUGCACAAUGGGCGCAAGCCUGAUGCAGCAACGCCGCGUGAGGGAUGACGGCCUUCGGGUUGUAAACCUCUUUUAGCAGGGAAGAAGCGAAAGUGACGGUACCUGCAGAAAAAGCGCCGGCUAACUACGUGCCAGCAGCCGCGGUAAUACGUAGGGCGCAAGCGUUAUCCGGAAUUAUUGGGCGUAAAGAGCUCGUAGGCGGUUUGUCGCGUCUGCUGUGAAAUCCGGAGGCUCAACCUCCGGCCUGCAGUGGGUACGGGCAGACUAGAGUGCGGUAGGGGAGAUUGGAAUUCCUGGUGUAGCGGUGGAAUGCGCAGAUAUCAGGAGGAACACCGAUGGCGAAGGCAGAUCUCUGGGCCGUAACUGACGCUGAGGAGCGAAAGGGUGGGGAGCAAACAGGCUUAGAUACCCUGGUAGUCCACCCCGUAAACGUUGGGAACUAGUUGUGGGGUCCAUUCCACGGAUUCCGUGACGCAGCUAACGCAUUAAGUUCCCCGCCUGGGGAGUACGGCCGCAAGGCUAAAACUCAAAGGAAUUGACGGGGACCCGCACAAGCGGCGGAGCAUGCGGAUUAAUUCGAUGCAACGCGAAGAACCUUACCAAGGCUUGACAUAUACGAGAACGGGCCAGAAAUGGUCAACUCUUUGGACACUCGUAAACAGGUGGUGCAUGGUUGUC